Molecule: small RNA, 28 nt
Filed under: Bombyx mori (domestic silkworm)
Lineage: Eukaryota; Metazoa; Arthropoda; Insecta; Lepidoptera; Bombycidae
Description: ovarian small RNA-34512
Source: RNAcentral
UGGAAUUGAGCUGCCAGGCGUUCAUGUG